RNAcentral lists this small RNA (256 nucleotides) under Saimiri boliviensis boliviensis (Bolivian squirrel monkey). RNAcentral's name for it is "Metazoan signal recognition particle RNA (ENSSBOG00000001751.1)". Lineage: Eukaryota; Metazoa; Chordata; Mammalia; Primates; Cebidae. The record is from RNAcentral.
GCCGGGCAUGGUGUUGCAUGCCUAUAGUCCCAGCUACUCGGGAGGCUGAGGCAGGAGAAUUGCUUGAAUCCAGGAGGCAGAGGUUGCGGUGAGCCAAGAUCGCGCCAUUGCACUCCAGCCUGGGUAACAAGAGUGAAACUCCGUCUCAAAAAAUAAAAAGACAGAGUUUCACUUUUGUUGCCCAGGCUGGAGUACAGUGGUGCAAUCUUGGCUCACUGUAACCUCUGCUUCCUGGGUAAGUGUUACGCCUGCCUCA